This 140-nucleotide ribosomal RNA is filed under the name Giardia duodenalis. RNAcentral describes it as "Giardia intestinalis partial 18S small subunit ribosomal RNA". The record is from RNAcentral. Lineage: Eukaryota; Fornicata; Diplomonadida; Hexamitidae.
ACAAGCCAUGCAUGCCCGCACACCCGGGAGGCGGCGGACGGCUCAGGACAACGGUUGCACCACCCGCGGCGGUCCCUGCUAGCCGGACACCGCUGGCAACCCGGCGCCAAGACGUGCGCGCAAGUGCGGGCGCCCGCGGG